RNAcentral lists this ribosomal RNA (779 nucleotides) under uncultured Neocallimastigales. RNAcentral describes it as "partial large subunit ribosomal RNA". It matches the Rfam family "Eukaryotic large subunit ribosomal RNA", at positions 23 to 634 of the family's 3401-position model. Lineage: Eukaryota; Fungi; Neocallimastigomycota; Neocallimastigomycetes; Neocallimastigales. The record is from RNAcentral.
GAGACUCUGUGCGCGUGCAUAUCAAUAAGCGGAGGAAAAGAAACUAACUAGGAUUCCCUCAGUAACGGCGAGUGAAGCGGGAAGAGCUCAAAUUUGAAAUCUUCAAGGUUCUACCUUGACGAAUUGUAGUUUAUAGAAGUGUUUUCUGUAGUGGAGUUUGGUAAAAGUUCUUUGGAAUAGGACAUCAUAGAGGGUGAGAAUCCCGUAUUUGACCAUUACUUCCUAGCGUUGUGAUACACUUUCAACGAGUCGGAUUGUUUGGGAAUGCAGUCCAAAAUGGGUGGUAAAUUUCAUCUAAAGCUAAAUAUUGGCGAGAGACCGAUAGCGAACAAGUACCGUGAGGGAAAGAUGAAAAGAACUUUGAAAAGAGAGUUAAACAGUACGUGAAAUUGUCAAAAGGGAAGCGUUUGACACCAGUGUUGUUUUUCCGAAAAUCAAUUACGAAUGUUUUAUUUUUGAGGAGUUAUGACUUCAUCGGCUUGCUUCUCUCUUUACUGAAACUUUCUUAAUGCACUUUUCGGUUAACAAGUCAACAUCAAUUUCUUUUGUUGUAAAAGGGUACGAGGAAGGUGGCUUUCUUUUCGGAGAAAGUGUUUAUAGCCUUGUAGCCUCUGCAAUCGGAGAGAUUGAGGUCUGCAGCGUAGAUCCUUCGGGGUUAGAUACAGUUUGUGCUAAGUUAUAGCUUUUCAUAGACAACUUGUUGACUAUGUUUAGUCUUGUAGCUUACUCGCUUAUGCUAUUUUACCUACGCUUAGGAUGUUGACAGCAGUAUAGACUGU